AGGUGGGAAAGUGCAGUGAAAAAAUGCCCAGAUCAUGCACACUGUGGCUAAUGAAAUGUGAAUUUACGUGAGCACCCACAGCUGAUGCACAUUUCAUGCUUGAGUGCUUCCAUGUGAUGAGUCCACUGCUAGCAGCAGCAGUAGUUUUAAUAACAUGCUUCAUAUUCUUGUUAGGACUUUGUACACUUCUCAGACAUAAGGGACCUAAUCCCAAAGUGUGCAAAUGAAGCUCUUACCUGAAGCCGUAUUCAGGCAAAGUGAAAAUUAAGCCCAAAGCUUUUUAAAAAGCUUCUGAAUAAUUAGCUGAUGUUUUAAUGCUAAUGUAUUCCUAUACUAUACACGCUAUAUUAAUACCCAUUAUCAGUUUUGGUGUGAAAUAUGGGAAGAAUAGGUACAAAAGUUGUAAUUAAAAUCAGAAACCAAACUUUAGGUGAAUCCUUUGGAGUGUGUGAGCACAGGAGUAUUCUUAUAUUCUUUGUACUUACUGAGCCUCAAAGAACUGGAAAAUGAGGAGCACCAGAACACCUAAUAGAUCUGCUUAAAGCUUCAGGUCAAUAACAUGCUUAAGCACAUGCUUAACUUGGAGCAUAUGAUUAAUCACAUCCCUGGUCCAUGGAGUAAUUAAACAUGUGCCUAUGUACUUUGUACAGUGCUCUACCAGCCUGCAGGCAUUCUCUAAAUACUGGUGUGCCUGAGAAAGUGGUGAAUCAGAAAGUGAUUUUUGGCUGGAGGUUGGAAAUGAGCUUAAAAGAGUUCGUUAGGCACCCAGGACUCAUUAGAUUUGAACAGCUAUGGAAAAGCUGGUCUUGUUAAGCAGAACUGCGUAAGGAGCAAGGUGUGGCCAUUUACCUUAUGGGAAUGCUGUAGUUUUGUUUGAAGUGAAAUGAUUUUAAAAUCCCUUUGCUUGGCAAUUUCCUGCUGCUCCCCUAUAACUGCUUCCCCUCGUGCCGGACAGACCAGACUCUGUCCCAGGAAAGCCCAAGCCGGGCAGCUUCUCUCCUAACUCACUGUUGGAAGUUUAGGUACGUGCAGAACUGGAGGCAGCACUGUUAAUACUUUCUUAGGGACCUCUCCUGUAAUUUUCAAGAUGGUGAUCAUCCUGAUCUUGGUUUUGAGAGCAAGAAACGGAAACAAGCUUCUUUAAGAAGGCAACCCCCAUGUAAGUGGUCUCUGGAAGCCGCCUUUGCCAGCAUUUAUUGACAGCUGCUCAUUAAUCUCAGGGCCACACUGGUAUCAGUUAUUGUGUUGCCAUCACGUCCUGGGGUCAGCUGCAGCUCUGGGAAGUUACAGUCCAUAGAGCUGUGGUGUGGGUUUGGCUGCUCUGAAGGCAGCCCUUAUUUUUUUCGAGCUACCAAGAGCAAACGCUGCUGCCAUCUAAAAGCAGAGGCUGAAGCUCUUGUCCGGGCAGAGCUGGAUGGCAGCUGCUGUUAAAUGUGCCAGAGUCUCUCCUGUGAGUGGGCGUUAUUAUUUGGUAAUACCAGUCCAUUCCAGCCGAGGAUCGUCCCUUUGUUUUGUGUACAGGACAAUUUGGUUUCAAUUUUUGUUUCUGAAAGGAAACUGUCAAGACAAAAUUCACACUUAAAAAACUGAAGGGAAGCAGCUUUUGUCUGCUUCUAACAAUCCCCUUCCAUGACUAAAGCUGCAAGAAUUCUAGAAACUGCAUCAUUUUCUACCUUCAGUUCGGUUUUGUGCUGUUCUUGCAUUUUCUGAGUUUCAGAUUCAAGGCACCAAAAGACUUCAAUCCCAAAUCAGCCCAACAGAACUGGUGUAAACUUAGAGAUAGUUGUGUGCUCUGAUGAUUAAAAUCUGGUUGUGCUUUAUCUAGCAGUGGAGUUGGGGCAGCAGGGAGCUGAGAGCAGCUUGGGCAGGAAUCCUGUUUUGUAGCACCCGUAGUCUGAAGAAGGAACACAUAGAACAUAUAAAGCCUCCAUGAAGGGGAUUCCCUGGAGCAGCACAUUCCCAUCAUUGCUGGAUUUGCCAAGGACAUGAUGCCAGUAAAAUACAACUGGGGUGAAGUCCCUUCUCCAGGCUGAAACCUGCUGAUUACCUGCUUUGCUGUACACUGGGUGUGCUCUGCUGCGGUGGGGUCUGCUGGAGCUUGUGGUCUCCUUGGGGUGUUGGUGUAACAGCAAGUGCUGAGGGGUUCUGGUCCUUGCCUGGGGCUCCUUCCAACUACAAAGAGUUGGGUUUUGUCAAUCUGAGGAGGGGAGAAAAAAAAGAACUUAUGAAAAUAAUACCAGCAUGUAUCUCAUUUUAAUGUGAGUCCUAAAAACUACUUGAUGCUCACUACAAAGGAAUUGAUUCCUUAAAUGAAUGAAGCAGUCAUGAGUGCUGCGUUCAGUGUGGGACUGCUGACGCUCUGAGUCAUGCUUUGCUUCUUUCAGGCUCUGGCUUUUAUGCUUCAUUUAGGGCACCAACGUCAUUAGCAUUCAGAGAGCUGCUGCUUUUCCUUAUUAUUAUUAUGGUGCUGUUGUAAUUUUUUUCAAAGAUGCAAAUAUUUGGAUCAGAACAGGGCUCAUGUUUUAUUACCAAAUCAGGGCAUGGGGUUUGCUUUCAUCUGACCUGCAAGCCUUACAAGAAACUCUAAAUGGAGCUAAGGUGAGGCUUUGUACAGUAAGGACAGGCUCUCGGGGAGGGUUCUGGAUGCCAUUUUGCUUGCUGCUGCAGAGGGUCACCCCCUGUCAGGACAGGUGAGACUGGGUCCAUCCCAGCAUCUUGCGGAGAGUUUAUGGGAAGAAACAGAGCAGAACUAUGGGUAUCUUCCUAUGGUUUCUGUUGAGUCCACCUCCAUCAAAAUCCAAAGUAUUGGCGAAGUAAUAGGAAAGUGUUGCUCCCUGCCUAAGAAUGUGCCAGGCAGGGCAGGGCUCUCCAGGAAGAUGUGUGAAUGAGGGCUGAAAAUCCCCAGCCAACUUCUUGGCACCCUGUAGUAAGGAACUUACAGAUCUUUUUUAGAUACUACUUCAGGUUCAAGUUGUGAAGUCAGUUCUAAUUCCUUAAUGAACAAACCAGCUUGCUUACUAAAUUAAAAGCAACAGUUGCUGCAAAACUGGGCAGAUCUAUGUGACCUGCUCAAGCCAGAUGCUGCUCUGAGCACCCUGAGCAUUGCAGGUUAGGAUGCGGAAGAGCAGGAUGUGCAGUGCUGCCUUUGCACUGAGCUGGUCAGAACUGGGAUCUCUGCUUCCCCUGCACAUUCCCCUUCACCAGUGCUCACCUGAUUGCCAGCACCACGUGGGUUUGCAGGAUGAGCUGGUGCUGCUGCCUUCUGCCCCUGCGCUGGGGUGUUUCAGGGCUGCCUGCAGCGAGCUGUGCCAGGCUGUGUUUGAUGGCAUCUCUGCAGCGGCAGACGAACCAGCUGGCGUUGCACUCAAACAGAGCGUGGCGUUAGCUCAGGAGGAGCCUGCGGGGAUGACAAAGCAGUUGCAGUGUGUCAGGGCUGGCACCGCGGCUGGCGCUGGGCACAUCAGCAGCCGCGUGUGCCAGCAUGAGCCGGCAGAGCCACGCUGCAGAGAAGGGACCCUGUGAGACUCUGCCCUCCUAGGGACAGACUGAGCGGCAGCAAGAAAAAUGAGGGACUUUCAGGGGCAGCUGUGUUUUACUAACCCAGUCAUAAUGCCCCUAAAAAUCCUUAUUGUUCUUGCAAUGGUCAACUGUGCCCUUCAGGGCGGAAGGCCUGCAAAGGAAAACACCUGGGGCAGGGCAAGCCUGGCAGGGCAGGUCUGUCCUCGGGAAGGUGUGAUGGCAAGUGGGAGCAGGGUUUCAGGCUGGAGAAAGGUUCUGCUUGAGUGGAGCUGGAAAGAUGCAUUGUUGUGAAUUGUGGUUGUGGAGCGUGUACUGUGUAUGAAGCUCAGGGCACAGGAGCUGCGACACAAAGUGGGGGACAUGAAACAAGCCAAGUGCUUUCUUCCCUGCUCUGUCUUGCAUUCCCUGCCUGAGCAGUGUGAAAUGCAACUGGAGAGAUGCUCAACCCAACCCUAGAGAGAGCCCAAACACCCCUAGCUCCUAUCACAGCUGUACUCCUCUUUCAGCUAACUGCUCUAAGUCUUUGCUCAUCCACUGCACCCCUCGCUGAGCUUUAUUUUCUACUCUUAAUUUUCCAGAUCAGCCCAAAAUACAGUAAUUGCCUGCAAAGAAGCAAUUUGUUAAAUAGAACCAUAAUAUUAAAUUAUUUGCCAUCUUUAUGCACUCCUAAUGCUUUAUAUCUGAGAGCUUCUAUAUGUUGAGAGUAAAAGUUGUUAUUUUCACUGAACUCUGCAACAAUGUUCAAAGCUUUUCUCUUUUAGGAACCCCACCUGGAGUUAUGUGUCCAUAGUCAGUCUGGCCUCACAACACCAACAGUCUGGCUGGAUUACUGGUUACUUUUUUGGAAAGGUUUUGUUUAAGACUUUUAUCAAGUUUAUAAAUUGAUCAAUAUGUUUAUCAGUUCUGCUUUAUAAGCCUAUGCCAAUAGAUUAGAAAUGCAUGGUUUUGCUUGUAGUGACUACACAGACUUGCUUUUACAUAGCACUUGCCUAUUUUUAAUUGGGUUCUAUGGCUCUGGAGCAAGAUUUACUCAUUUGUUACUUGUUAUUCUCAGGAGCAUUUCAUCUGCUUUCCUUAAAGCUGAAUUCUUUGUAAAGGAGAAGUGAUGAGAAACCCUGCAGUGAGUCCCAGGUCUCGCUGAGCGUUGUGAGGAUGCUGCCAUAGUGACGCUGCUCCAGUUAAGGUAUGGUAUGAACCAGGAGCUGUACCAGCUGCUGUGCAAUGUGCUCACAUGAAGUCAUCCUGCCAUAGCUGUUGCAGAAUCCCCAGCUCCCCUGUGUAAGCAAGCCCUAAAGGAUAAUCCUUAUCUCAGUGACUGUGAGUAGAUAAGAGGAGACAAUGGGCGCAAGAAAGACACGUUACUAUCAGCUGAGGAUGGGUACUGAUCAACCAGCUGGGAACAAAGAAACUUGGGCUGCUCAAGGCCCCACAGGACUGCCCUGGAGUGCUCUUCCCUGUGGCUGAUUCCAGGAACAUUGUGGAACUUUGGAAUUGUUUCUUUCAGGAAUGACUGCUUUGAGACCUUUGAUUUCUGAGGCUGCCCUAUUACAGGAAGCCCCAGGUCCUCUAUUCCUCUCUAUAUGGAUUCCUUCAUCUAGAAACUCUCAUGUCCAUGUGCUACUGAAACACGAUUGAAGAGCUUGAAUGUUCCUUGACAAGAUGGGUGGAUGGAAUUAAUUCCUUCUGUUCUGACCCUGAUAUCUGCCAAUCACCUCAAGUGCUAAUGGGCUGCAGAGCAACAACCUACUACAGUGGAAUAUUUUGUGCUGAAAACAGGAAGAUCGGGAAUGAGGGUUUGUAACUUCUUUGGAUGUGUUUUUGUGGUUCAGUUUUUAUCUUUAGUAUCACCACCUUACUCCAAAUAAGAAUAUAUGUAAAAAUAAACACGUUUUUGCUUUGAAAUACUGGAAUACUCCUCCCCAGCUUCUUCCUAUGUCAGCUCUGCCCCUGUGAAGAGAACCCCGCUCAUGGAUUUUAAAGCCAGAAGGAUGAGUCUGAACUUCUACCACUGGAUGCGCACAGAAUAACUCCUGCAGCUCAUCCUGAUGCCAGGGCCCUGAUGAAUGGAUCUUUUCCUUAUGUGCUAUGGGAAGUGCCUGUACAAAUGUCUGACAGGCUGUUGCAGUGUUUUGUAUCCUUGUGCCCUGCACCUCACAGCAAGCUGCAAGUUUCCAGUUGUUUCUUGUACAGCCUGUGGAUGAAACCCUUCAUGUAUGUGCCUGCGUGUGGUGAACAGGAGAGCACAGCACAGGGGGUUGGUGCUAUUUUUAUCCCAGCUGUUCCCAAAACAGCUCUCCCAGCCAGGCAGGUCACACGCACCCCCUCCAGUUGCCACACUGCCUGUCAGAGCAGCGGGUGGGUGAGCAGAGCUCUGCAGGACACUGGGGACGUGGCCAGGGGCUGAUCUGCAGGAUCCCUCAUGCAUAUCCCACAGGUACACACUGUGGGAUAACACAGUGUAGCUCUUUCACACUUCAGGAUAUUUCCAGCGGACCCAUUAUGUGUUUCUCAGUGCCCAGGCUAAGCCUUACACUAAGAUUGCAAGAACAAGUUAAGGUUUGGGUUUUCUAAGUUCAAUGUCAAUUAACACCUCUAAUUUGGCCUGGAAAAAUGCAGGGAUAUCUAAAAUAAAGGUGUUUUGGAAAGUACAUGCAGGCAUUCAUGGUAUUUUUCAGACUCGGUCUCAGGUGAUGCCAUCAGCUUCUACUGCAGUUAACCUCUGACCCAGCCUUCCAUGAUGUUGCCAUCCCUAGUCUAGGCUAAGCAGUAUGAACAUUAAAAUAGACCCUACUGAAAUCAAACACCCUGGUACUCACAUGCACAGAAUUCUUUCCCUGAAAAAUGGGUAACAGCAGAUGAACUAAACUUGAGCCACCAUUCACGUUACUUCGCACAUCCUUGGAAGGCGCACAGCAUUUAGCCUGGCAAUAGAGUUACAAGAGUCCACAAAGAACAAACCUGAAGUAGCAAAGAGCAAAGGGUUUAGGGUGAGAUCCCAACAGGGAAAAGAAAGAAGUAAAAUUUCCCUUCAAGUACAAGUAAUUCUAUGAAUGUCACUUCAGGCACCAGUGUUUUGGGCUGCAAGGAGCCUCUCACUGCAGGGGACACUUUCUGUCCUGCCUGGUAAUACUAUCAGCUGCUUUCAGUGCACAACUCCUGUCCAAAAUAGUUUAAUGGGGUACACUCAAUCAAAGAGAAUUGUGUGUCAGCCACAUAAAUGGAAUAAAGCCAGUGCAGGAAAUACA
Melopsittacus undulatus (budgerigar) is the source of this 6764-nucleotide long non-coding RNA. RefSeq lists it as uncharacterized. The transcript is spliced from 2 exons. NCBI's taxonomy places the organism in Eukaryota, Metazoa, Chordata, Aves, Psittaciformes, Psittaculidae. The record is from RefSeq and is a predicted model, not a curated record.